This 426-nucleotide unclassified non-coding RNA is filed under the name Hevea brasiliensis (rubber tree). Lineage: Eukaryota; Viridiplantae; Streptophyta; Magnoliopsida; Malpighiales; Euphorbiaceae. The record is from RNAcentral.
GUUAUCUUUAAGUUUGAUCUGAAUGUUUUUACGGAAAGCAAAUUUGGAGUUUAUUUUUAUUCCCAACUCGCACAUUGUGAAGAAACUACAUGGGGACCCUUAUCAUAUAAUCAGUUACACCUCAACCUCAGAGUAGUUGGUGUCAGCUUGAUGAAUCAUCAUUCCCACAGUUAUAACUAAAAAUAUCAUCCCAAAAAUCUGUGAAUAAUUCAGGCUUUAAGUCUAAAGAACCAGAACAAACAGGAAACUAGUCAAGAACAAAGCACUUAUACUCAUCCCUGACUUGUUUUUCCAUGAUGUUGAUAAAAUGAAGAGUUUAGAAGCUCAUGAUGAAAAAGGAACGGAACAAGUUCAAAAGGAGUUCUUCAACUAUUAGGAGUCUACUGAUUAACUUAACAAAAUUAAUGAUGAACUAGAACAUUCAAA